RNAcentral lists this ribosomal RNA (497 nucleotides) under uncultured bacterium. RNAcentral's name for it is "partial 16S ribosomal RNA". It matches the Rfam family "Bacterial small subunit ribosomal RNA", at positions 28 to 507 of the family's 1533-position model. The record is from RNAcentral.
GAUGAACGCUGGCGGCGUGCCUAAUACAUGCAAGUCGAGCGAACAGAUGAGGAGCUUGCUCCUCUGACGUUAGCGGCGGACGGGUGAGUAACACGUGGAUAACCUACCUAUAAGACUGGGAUAACUUCGGGAAACCGGAGCUAAUACCGGAUAAUAUAUUGAACCGCAUGGUUCAAUAGUGGAGGACGGUUUUGCUGUCACUUAUAGAUGGAUCCGCGCCGCAUUAGCUAGUUGGUAAGGUAACGGCUUACCAAGGCAACGAUGCGUAGCCGACCUGAGAGGGUGAUCGGCCACACUGGAACUGAGACACGGUCCAGACUCCUACGGGAGGCAGCAGUAGGGAAUCUUCCGCAAUGGGCGAAAGCCUGACGGAGCAACGCCGCGUGAGUGAUGAAGGUCUUCGGAUCGUAAAACUCUGUUAUUAGGGAAGAACAAAUGUGUAAGUAACUAUGCACGUCUUGACGGUACCUAAUCAGAAAGCCACGGCUAACUACGUG